This 438-nucleotide ribosomal RNA is filed under the name uncultured bacterium. Its description in RNAcentral is "bacterial SSU rRNA". It matches the Rfam family "Bacterial small subunit ribosomal RNA", at positions 958 to 1398 of the family's 1533-position model. The record is from RNAcentral.
AACGCGAAGAACCUUACCGGGGCUUGACAUCUGCGGAAAUCCUAUGAAAGUAGGCUUCGGGGCAACCCGACCGCAAGACAGGUGCUGCAUGGCUGUCGUCAGCUCGUGCCGUGAGGUGUUGGGUUAAGUCCCGCAACGAGCGCAACCCUUGUCGUGUGUUGGUCCACAAAGAUCUCUCACACGAGACCGCCGAUGAGAAGUCGGAGGAAGGUGGGGAUGACGUCAAGUCCGCAUGGCCCUUACGUCCCGGGCUACACACGUGCUACAAUGCGCCGGACAACGAGCCGCGAACUCGCAAGAGUAAGCCAAUCUCUUAAACCGGUGCUCAGUUCGGAUUGAAGGCUGCAACUCGCCUUCAUGAAGUCGGAAUCGCUAGUAAACGCAGAUCAGCUACGCUGCGUUGAAUACGUUCCCGGGCCUUGUACACACCGAGACGAC